UGCCUGACACACUACGUUGAAUUUUAUUU
Molecule: non-coding RNA, 29 nt
Filed under: Homo sapiens (human)
Lineage: Eukaryota; Metazoa; Chordata; Mammalia; Primates; Hominidae
Source: RNAcentral